This 334-nucleotide unclassified non-coding RNA is filed under the name uncultured Glomeraceae. Its description in RNAcentral is "sequence contains 18S rRNA gene". The record is from RNAcentral. Lineage: Eukaryota; Fungi; Glomeromycota; Glomeromycetes; Glomerales; Glomeraceae.
CCCAACUAUCCCUAUUAAUCAUUACGUCGAUCCUAGAAACCAACAAAAUAGAAUCAAACGUCCUAUUUCAUUAUUCCAUGCUAAUGUAUUCAAGCGCGAGCCUGCUUUAAACACUCUAAUUUUUUCAAAGUAACAGUCCUGAUUCCCCAUGACAUCAACUUAAUGACAUCAUGAUUCAUCAGAAGGAAGAAACCAAUAAUACUAGUACGUACCAAUGGCACGACCAGCAUAUUGAUCCCGAAAUUCAACUACGAGCUUUUUAACUGCAACAACUUUAAUAUACGCUAUUGGAGCUGGAAUUACCGCGGCUGCUGGCACCAGACUUGCCCUCCAA